This 3020-nucleotide long non-coding RNA is filed under the name Citrus x clementina. Its description in RNAcentral is "Citrus clementina (C. clementina) long non-coding RNA (CCLE_LNC006780)". The record is from RNAcentral. Lineage: Eukaryota; Viridiplantae; Streptophyta; Magnoliopsida; Sapindales; Rutaceae.
AAUCAGGAAAGAAGUGGAGUUUUCAACUCAACCCAUGAGCUAGAACUACACAAGUUGUUCCGAACUUAGUUUAUCUUAUUGUAAGUUUCGAAACGAUAUAUUAUACACCUAAAACGGACAUAUGUAGUCCAAAUGAUAACCUCUAAAAUGUACCCUACUUGUCCCACGCAACUAUCGUAUAUCAUUUAGUCUAUACUUUGUCCUUUGGGAAAGAUAAUUGGGCCGAAGACGUGCAUAAGGUACCGAUAAAUGACCUAAAAAUCAAUGGCAAUAUCCAAUUUAAAUAUGGAUAAUUAACACUCAUGUCAAGUUAAAUCCGAACUUAUUAAAGAUGUUCAUAUUCCAUACUCAUGCCCACCUCCAGAGAGCUUGGACAUAGAUAUAAAUUUUAUCCACGUUGAUAAAGAGGCAGAGGUUAGUGUUAAUUUGAAUGCAUCUUUUGACUAUUUAUUUGUUGAAUAAAUAAAUUUCCCACCUUAGAUAUAAUAUGCUUCGUUAUACAUGCUCCCUUUCUUUUUUCUUCAAACUUCGCUCUGCCGCCAGGGAUACUAAUUAGUUUUAUUAAUUUUCAUUUGUGCAUAUUACGGGGCAAGGCGAAAAUUCAUUCCUUUACUAUUUUUGUUAGUAAUUAUGAUAUAUUUGUAAAAUUAUGAUAUUGUUGGACCAAAAAUAAAAUAGGCCCAAUCAAAGCCCAAUUAAAUUUACUCUUAAUAAAGCCCAUGAAAUGGUGAACAAACCACCUAGGAUUAAGGAUGGCAAUAUAAUCCGGACCCGGCCCGAACCCAGACGAACCCGCACCGGAGUUGAAUUAAAUGCGGAACCAAAUUUAAUUUUUUAAACCCGGAUGUGUCCGGGUCCGGAUCCGAAUUUAAGUGAACCUGUAUAUCCGGAACCCAGACCCAAACAUCUUUAUUUUAAUAGUAAUUUUUUUAAUAUAAAUAUAAAAGAAAGAAAGGGAAAGAGGAGCCCUAGCACAACCGGACCUAGUUUGCAAUUCACAUUUUCCUCUUCUCAAAUCUCACAUCUGCGGGCUGCUAACCAUAUUUCGUCUUCUCUUCACCAAAUCAAAUCAUUGUCGUCAUCGCUUCAGCCAUUUCCUCUUCUCUACGUUCAUUAUCAACAUCAUCAGUUGCUUUGUUCCUCUUCUCUGCGCUGUCAAGACAUCCAACCCUUCUCAAUCGUUCAACUGCUGCAAAAUUGAGUGGACUAGCUUCCACCUCUAAGCCCACCUCUGCUUCUCUCUUGUCAUCUCUUCAUAAACUUUCUCUCUCUCCAUGGUUCCAGUGGAACUGGGUGGGGGCUCGCUUGUCAACACUUCACAAACUCUCUCUCUCCAUAGUUCUCGUGGAGAUGGUUUGUGGGUGCUUCCUUUGACGUCAUUGCAUGGUGGAUCUGGGUGGGCCUUUGUGUUUGAUGCCAUUCAAAAUUAACUGUAAUUUUCAUGCGUCCACUUAUUAUAUUAAUUUAAUCUUAAUAUUUUUUGGCAGUAAUUGUAGCAUCUCUAUAUCUCUAUAAGCUUCUAUCAUGUGUACUUGACAGAAUAUCAUCAACUAAGAAAAAAAUGUUUCAUCUGGUUUAAUCUGUGAUUGAAAUGUAGUGUCCAACUUCAUAAGGAGAUGGAAAUUUUUUUUUUCAAAUCAUAAUUCAUAAAGCAAUAUGGGUUUCAAACUCGGAUUUUUCCGAGUUGAACCUAUUCCGAACUCGUAUGCAGGAAAACUAGAUUUAUAUUCAGGUCUGGUACAAGAAAAUAGCACCCGGGUCCGGAACCAGAAAUGCCGAACCCAGACCUGGACCCGAAUUUUGCCAUCCCUACCUAGGAUAAUCCUCCUAGGUAACAAGGCUUAAAAGCCCAAAAUUUUACAAGGUCCAAGACUAAAAGUUUCUAAAGUUCUAAGACCCAAUCUUAAGAUAAACCACCUAGGAUAAUCCUCCUAGGUAACAAGGCUUCAAAGCCCAAAGAGUUACAAGGUCCAAGACCGAAAGGUUCUAAAGUUCUAGGAUCCUAUCGUAAGACAAACUACUUAGGAUAAAUCUCAUAGGUUCUAAGGUUCCCAUCAUCCUAGAGUCUCAGUAAAAACAACAUAAGGUUAAAACGCUUAAUUCUUUAAUCUAUGGACAAGUUUGCAUAUCCAUGUGUCAAUCAACAUGGGCACAAGCAAACAAGUGUCGCCAGAUGUCACAAGAACAAUGACACUUGUCAUAAAAAUAAUUAGGACUCAAGUCAAAUCAACUUCGCCUAUAAAUAUGUCUCAUAUUCUCACUAAAAGGUAAGAAAAACAGACUUAAAAGGGGAAACACUGACUUUUUUUCUCUAAUGUUUCUCUCUCUAAAUUUACAUAACUAAAAAUUUAGUGACUGACUUGAGCGUAUGAGGGUUUAUGCCGGUAAAGCGCCCCCUUUGAUCAUUUUCUUGUGCUUAUAGAGUAUCAUUAGGUAAGGGCAUUUUCACCUCCUAAGGAAGUAGACCCAGAGGAGACUCAAAGGCCCAUUAAGAUCAAUUCAAAGGGAAAACUCAUCAUCAUUAGAUCCAACUAAGAGGAAUCCCAGUCCUAAAGGGGGGUCGUCUUUGGUUGGAAUUUUUACCUAAUAAGUUGGGAAAAAAUUUACACCAACAGAUACAAAAUUCGUUCUUUUAAUAAUGUCAUACAUAAUGCGUUAUUCAUUUAUUAAUUGAUAUUGUAAUAUUAUCUCAUUAAUGAUAAUAUAAAAGGUCAACUAUUAUUAAACACAUUGUAAUCAUUGGUUUGGUGAGACAACAUUUAUGCAUCAUUACUGUAUUUUGAAUUUCUGAUCUCUAGUUUGCUAAAUUGAAGAUAUUGAUAACAAAAUUAUUUUGAUUUUUUUUUGGGGUUUGGGAAAUUAUCAUUUUACUACCAAAGUUAUUCUGACAUAUCAUGUCAGUACCAUGGUUUGCCGAAAAGUGUAUUUUACUCCCAAACGUUUGUGCCGUUAUCAAUUCACUACUAUUCUGUUAAGAAAACGUUAAUGUUUAACAAAAAUUGAGUUAAAAGUCGAUUUUA